UACGUAGGGUGCAAGCGUUAUCCGGAAUUAUUGGGCGUAAAGAGCUCGUAGGCGGUUUUGUCGCGUCUGCUGUGAAAACUGGAGGCUCAACCUCCAGCCUGCAGUGGGUACGGGCAAACUAGAGUGCGGUAGGGGAGAUUGGAAUUCCUGGUGUAGCGGUGGAAUGCGCAGAUAUCAGGAGGAACACCGAUGGCGAAGGCAGAUCUCUGGGCCGUAACUGACGCUGAGACGCGAAAAGCGUGGGGAGCAAACAGG
This 255-nucleotide ribosomal RNA is filed under the name uncultured bacterium. Its description in RNAcentral is "partial 16S ribosomal RNA". It matches the Rfam family "Bacterial small subunit ribosomal RNA", at positions 524 to 776 of the family's 1533-position model. The record is from RNAcentral.